RNAcentral lists this unclassified non-coding RNA (1082 nucleotides) under Hevea brasiliensis (rubber tree). The record is from RNAcentral. Lineage: Eukaryota; Viridiplantae; Streptophyta; Magnoliopsida; Malpighiales; Euphorbiaceae.
AUUUUCAGCUGCUUCGGUGGACGAUUUGCGUUCUGAGGUGACAACAUCUGCUUGGUUGAAUGAUCUAAGAAAUCAGAUUGAGCAUACUAGGAUUCUUAGUACUGUGUAUCGUUCUGCAUCAGCCCUGGGAUCUCGUCUUCCAUCUAUUGCCACUGCUAAAGCUAAGGUUGCAGGUGCUGGUGCAAUACUUCGGCCCGUUUCCAGUGGUACACAGGUUGUCAUGAAGAGAGCGCAAAGUAUGGCCCAGGCAGCAUUGUCACGACCUGCCAUGCAACUGUCGUCAUGGUCAUGCAUGGGUCCCAGACGUCGAUCCACGGCUAUUCAGGUUAAUUCUGAAGAACGGCAAAUCUCUCGUGGAACUUCUUCAGGCGAUAAUUCUGAAGCAUUCAUUGUGGAAUCCGAGACCAGAAGGACGAGCGUGAUGGAGCUUCCUGUAUCUUCUACUGAGGGAGUCUCGUGGAACGCGGAAAUUGAUCAAUCUUUUGCAGAUGGGAUUAAUAUCCAUAGUGGCCUGGAUUCUGAUCUUGAUGAUAGUGAACAUGUUACCCAUGGACCUGAAGACCGAAUGACGGAAGUUGAGAUGUGGCAACAACUAGAGCAUGAACUGUAUGAUCAGUCUGAAGGGGAAACUGAUGUGGCGAAGGAGAUUAGGGAAGAAGAAGAAGCAGCCAUCGCAGAGACAGGUCAGAGCUCAAGUGAAAGCUCUGUUCCAAAGACGAAGGAGGUGCACAGAUUCUUUCCUCCUGGAAAGAUAAUGCAUAUAGUUACUCUUCUCUCUGAGGAAGUCGAUCAUGAAAGUGACAGCGAUACGUUGAGUGAGGACCAUAACCAACCCAAGGAUACAAAGGUUGGUAUCUUUCUCACUCCUAGAUCAUUGUACAGUAAAAUAAGGCUGUCACAAACUAUGAUCAGUGAUCAUUUCAUGCCGGUUUAUAGAAGGCAUAUAGAGAAACUAAUUAGGGAUCUCGAGAACAACGAUGCUUGUGAGUUGUGACAAUUCAAUGGAAUCUGAUUCUCAGUGUUAGUGAUGGGAUAUUGGUUUCGUAUGGCAUGAAAGAAAAAAGAAGUAUAAUUUACCUAAA